Molecule: ribosomal RNA, 334 nt
Filed under: uncultured methanogenic archaeon
Lineage: Archaea; Methanobacteriati; Methanobacteriota
Description: bacterial SSU rRNA
Rfam family: Archaeal small subunit ribosomal RNA
Source: RNAcentral
GGCGGGGCUGGGGCACCGGGGGCCCUACGGGGCCAGCGUGCUCAAAAAUUUUAUAAUGCUCUGAAACCGUGUUUAGGCGACACCAAGUGCCACCAUCAUAUGCUGGCUGUCUCAGGUGUGUAAAAUACACCUGUUUACAAGGGCCGGUCAAGACCGGUGCCAGCCGCCGCUGCAACACCGGUAGCCCGUAGUGUUGAUUGUAAUUAUUGGGUCUAAAGGGUCCGUAGCCGGUUUGGUCAGUCCUCAGGGAAAUCUGAUAGCUUAACUGUUAGGCUUUCUGGGGAUACUGCCAGGCUUGGAACCGGGAGAGGUAAGAGGUACUACAGGGGUAGGA